This is an RNA transcript of Ahaetulla prasina, 6153 nucleotides long. It is a transcript of the gene named casein kinase 1 delta, with no coding region annotated. The transcript is spliced from 10 exons. The record is from RefSeq and is a predicted model, not a curated record. NCBI's taxonomy places the organism in Eukaryota, Metazoa, Chordata, Lepidosauria, Squamata, Colubridae.
UGAGGUCACAUAAUAUGGCGGCUCGGUCCUACCUGCGCUAAGCGGGAGGGGGUAUCCGGGGCUCGGGGGAAAAAAAAAUCGGCGUCCAUCCUUCCCACCCGGGCUGCGCUGCCGCCCCCGAACACCUCGGGCGUCGAGAGACGGGACGAAAGGCCGCGAUGGUCGCUGGUGCUUCCCUGCUCUGAGUCAGGGUCCUUACAACCAGGGUUGGGUCCAAUCGAGACGCCUCGAUGGAGUUGAGAGUCGGGAACCGGUACCGGCUUGGCCGAAAGAUCGGGAGCGGCUCAUUCGGGGACAUUUACCUCGGUACUGACAUAGCUGCUGGAGAAGAGGUUGCCAUCAAAUUGGAAUGUGUCAAAACCAAACAUCCUCAACUCCACAUAGAGAGCAAAAUUUACAAAAUGAUGCAAGGUGGAGUGGGCAUUCCCACAAUCAAAUGGUGUGGUGCUGAAGGUGACUACAAUGUAAUGGUGAUGGAAUUGUUAGGACCAAGUCUUGAAGAUCUCUUUAACUUCUGCUCAAGGAAAUUCAGCCUCAAGACUGUUCUUCUACUUGCUGACCAAAUGAUAAGCCGAAUAGAAUAUAUUCAUUCAAAGAACUUCAUCCACCGAGAUGUAAAGCCGGAUAAUUUCCUGAUGGGAUUAGGCAAGAAAGGCAACCUUGUCUACAUCAUUGAUUUUGGGCUGGCCAAAAAAUAUCGCGAUGCUCGUACUCACCAGCAUAUUCCUUAUCGUGAAAAUAAAAACUUAACGGGAACUGCCCGCUAUGCCUCCAUUAAUACCCAUCUUGGAAUUGAACAAUCUCGCAGAGAUGACUUGGAGUCCUUGGGUUAUGUACUCAUGUAUUUUAACCUGGGCUCCCUCCCCUGGCAGGGAUUGAAGGCAGCUACAAAGAGACAGAAAUAUGAACGCAUCAGUGAAAAGAAAAUGUCCACUCCCAUUGAGGUUUUGUGUAAAGGAUACCCGUCCGAGUUUGCUACCUAUCUGAAUUUCUGCCGCUCGCUGCGUUUUGAUGACAAACCGGAUUAUUCAUAUCUAAGACAAUUAUUCAGAAAUCUCUUCCAUAGACAAGGCUUCUCCUAUGACUAUGUAUUUGAUUGGAACAUGCUCAAAUUUGGUGCAAGCCGAGCAGUAGAAGAUGCUGAGCGUGAAAGAAGAGAGAGAGAAGAGAGAAUGAGACAUACACGCAAUCCAGCUGUUCGUGGAUUACCUUCCACUGCCUCCGGGAGGCUAAGAGGGACACAAGAUGUAGCUCCACCAACUCCUCUUACUCCAACUUCACAUACAGCAAAUACAUCUCCUCGGCCAGUUUCUGGAAUGGAGCGAGAGCGGAAAGUGAGUAUGCGAUUGCAUCGUGGGGCCCCUGUGAAUAUCUCCUCAUCUGAUUUAACAGGUCGACAAGAUACCUCACGCAUGUCAACCUCACAGCAGGUACACCAGGGGAUGGGGUGUGAGUGGAGCCGGCUGGGAGCUGAGAAUUUGAAGUUGCUGCAAAGAAAGAAGUGCAGGAAGAAGAGCAAAUGAGGCAAAAAGCUGAAGAUGGUGAAGAAAGAAGAGUUAACACAGAGCAGAGACAUGGAUUAAAAGGGACAUUUUUCUUCUCAAAUGUUUGGAUGUUCUUGUGAAGUAUGAAAUAAAACUGCUAAAACGUCUAGGUUCUGCAACCUGGCCAGAUUUUUAUUUUGGCCUCUGCUGAAACAUGCAUGCAGUAUAAAUAGCAAUUGAUUGUGAGCCAGAUGAAAGUGUUUCUACACCUACAUGGUGGCAUGUAAGAGAUAAAGGUUUUAGUCCAGCCAGAGUUCUUUAUUUGUAGCAAUGUAAAUCUAGCUUGUAGUGGAUAGAAACAGAGUCAGGGUGGAGACAAACAACAUUCAAGUGUCUUACUCUUGUUGAAAUCAUAUUGAUGGAUAACAUUCAAAUAGAUCAGAGACCAGGACAGCUGAAGGAGCCAUUUCUAAAAGAACAGAGGUUUGCAGGAGAUAAUUGCAGUGUUUUGAAGUAUCUGUAAACAAAGCUUUGAUAAUACUGUACACACCUGUUUGGUCCUCAUGGGCAAACAGCUGUCAGGACUCAAUUCAACUUCCACAAAUAUCUACUAAUGUGUGAUGAAAUCACAGGCAAGGUUUCUCAAUAUGGAGAACUUGGGCUAUGGGUUUGAGUGGGUUUUUAAUAAGGGGGAGAAAUAUUAAUCAUGUGAGUCUGAAGAAGCCUGAAUACAUAUUUAUUACCUUGUUGAGAAAUGGAUCAGAUGGCUGGAUAAGUGAAGUUUUAGUCUUAAAAUACCUAGGGUUGGAAAAUACUGGUAAUUGUUGGCAAGAAUGGUUAUGUAGGAACCACAGGCACCAGCAUUGUCAUGGCAUGAGGCUCAUCUUGGUAAGCAGCUUUAUUCUGAUCUCUCUGAAGGAUGGAAGCAUCACAUGCUAACUUAAAGGUUCCAUAUACUCACUGUUUUUCUUAAAUACUUUCAACCUUUUAGUUGAGUAUUUACAGAGUUACUUAUUUGAAAGUCUCCAACAAGCAGUUCACUUUAUCCUGGUUUUCUCCAUGAAGGUGGGACCACCAGUCAGGAAUGGGUUAACUCCAUCUGAUCUCCUAUUGGACUGAGUCUGCAAGCUGUUAAGCUUCUCCUCAUCCACUUGCUUCCCAGCUUUCAGACUCAGUCACUCUGGUCAGACGUGUAUUUCUGAGCUGAAAUUCACUUUGUUUUUUUCUAUGAAAGUUGGCCUAUAUUUAGCUGAUGUGUCUUUGAUGUCCUUUAUUAUGAUUCCUUUUCAUGAUCAUUUCAGAUCUAUAGCUUUUUCUCAGUGAAGCUUCAACCAUUGUUUCUCCAAGAAAUGUAUUUGUCAGCAUGACAAAAUAUAGGGACUAAUUGGAAAAAAUGCAAUUGCUGGUAGAUGUAUAUUCUUGUUGUCUUUUGUAGUGCCAUUUCUAGCUGGUAGAAAAUACUAGUUUUUUCAGUUUAGUCACCAUCUACAAACUGAGGAUAUGGUGAUUUUUUUUUCCCCAGUAAAAAACCACUUAAACUUGUCUUUUUGUUUCUUGAUGGGCUGAACUCCGUAGCAGGUAUAUUUAUGUAAUUUGAAUUUAGCAUUUCCUGCUCUAUGGGGGAUGUUUUAUAUUCUUAAACAUAUCAUUCAGGUCUAGCAGUAGAAAAGUUGGGUCUUUUUAUGAGAAGAGAAUGAUUUUUUUUAAGCUUCCACUGCCACUAGGAAGAAGUGUUGGUUUGUAUGUACUCAAAGAAGUACUGAGAGAAAAUGUAGCUCCCAUUCCCAGAAGUGUGAUUAAUCUUUUGCAGUAAGUUUACAAAAUUAUUUAGGUUUUGUCUUUUGUGCUGCCUUGGCCAGUUGAGAGCAAUAAAUGGACUUCUGUUCUAGUGAACAUAUUCAUCUGAAAGCCUCUGUUUGUAUCUGUGGUUAUUAGUCUGAAGGCAGGGGGUUGUCCAACCUUGGCAACUAUAAGACUCGUGGACUUCAGCUUCCAGAAUUCCCCAGCCAGCCAUGAUGGCUCAGGAAUUCUGGAAGAGUUGCCAAGUUUGGAGUACUAAUCAGAGAUGCAGGUUUCCUUGAUUUCCUCGGGUUAAAUUUGUCAUUGUAAUAAAGGAAAAUGUUUUUUUGAAUCAAUGGCCAGCACAGACAAUAACUCAUUAACCUGAUAGUCCGUUUGAACUAGGUGUCAUUCCAAUAUAAAUGCAUUUCCAAAAUCCUGUUGAUUGUUCCUGCUGCUCAGAGCAGUCAUUCUUUACACGUCAGUUCUCCAAACACAUUCUCAAAGCAACCUCUUUGGUUAUUCAUUUAGUGACAGCUGUGAAGGCCAAUGUCUCUGAAGCUUCUGAAAGGAGCACUGCUCCAAAUGAAGAACAGCUCCACUUAGAAUCUUAGUUUGAAGUUAACUUUUGGGCAGUGGAAUUGUUUCAAAUGGCUGUCUUUUCCCCCCCACCUCAGAAUAGCAUUCCUUUCGAACACCAUGGCAAGUAGCUGCUCGUCUCCUCGUUGGAAAGCAGCACUGGAUUCCUGCUCUGGCGACGACCAGCGUACUCCAAUCUGCUGUGCAUCGGUGAAAUAAUGUUGCCAUUGAGGGGCAGAUAAUGCAUGGCUGAUCUCCUAUGUUAUCAAUGGCUUUUACUAGCAAACUAUCCCAAACUAGAGCAGAAGAAAUAUUCCAGUUGGAACUCUCCUUGCCACUGUCUAAAGAUACUCACAGGAACAUGGACAGAAUCCAGCAGCUGCCACACUACAAGAGGCUUUAGCCCGAAACCUAAUAACCUUAUAUGAACUCUAGCAACAGGGCUAGAAAAGGAAGCGAUGGUAUACAGCAUUGCCCGCCUGUUAUUUAAUAGCCAUUUUAGUUGUCCCUCAGCAGGCGGCAGUCUUCACCCCCUUUUUAUUGUUCUACUGUAAUUAUAACUCUUUUACUUGGUUUAAGAAAGUUUUGUAUUCAUUUUGCUAAGAUUAUUGGCUUAACUUCUCUAUAAAAACAAAGUCUUGUCUCAUUCAAACCCUGUGUGGAAAUGUGAAAAUUCUAAAGCUUGGUUUCAAAACAAAAAAAUUCAAGACUUGAAACUUCUUGUAAGCUUAAGUGAGAAGAGAAUGUCUACCUGAAUUAGAGGUGUUUCCUUUUAUUUUACACUAUUUACUUUUAUAUGGUCCCAUUCGACAGGACAAGGGGGAUUCUCAAGGGUUUUUAAUUUUUAGUUUUACUUACGGCUGUCUUGUUCUUCCAGGGUCGUCAGGUUUUUUUUGUGUUUUUUUUUAGAAUUUAAACCUCUAUGUACCACCCACUGUUUUGUUUUGUUUUUUAAAUGUUGAUUUGUCUCUCGUUUUGUUCAAGAAAGAGUGGGAGAUCUUUUGGAAGAAAAAGCUGUACCGAGUAGAGGUGAAAAUAACGCUUCAUAGAUUUUGAAGGACAAAAAAAAAAAGCGAAAAUAAUCUUUCAGGAAGUUUUUAAUGUUGAACGUAGAAUGUAUUGCCUUUAUUCAUAAUAGAGGAGGGUUUGGAGAGGGGCAGGAUACCUUGUUCCUGCUGGGUUGUUCCUACAGAUGCCAAUUAAGCACUGCCACUGCAGUGGGAGCAGUGUGGACGUGGGCGGGCCUCUUGAGUGCACAGAGGCAGCAAGUGCCGCCAGCCAGCUGCAUUCCGCCAAGGCUCGGAGUUAUAAGCAAUCUGUUCCUUCUGCAAGAACUCAAGAGAACAUUCAAGCUUGUUGAAUUCUUUCAUUCUUUAUUAAAACGUGCAAGCCUGGAACAGCUGGCCUUCAGCUGAAGAUAUAUUUAUAUAGUGGCCAAAACACUUAGUGUGCCAGCUAAUAUACAUGAAGAAUCUUCGUUUUCAUGAGCAAUAUAUUUAUCCCUUAGUAAUCUGGGAAAGUAGAAGGCAUGUGAGUCAUACCAAAUACCACUCAAAAGCACCAUCAGUCCCACUUCGGGGAUGAAAAUGCAAUAUGUAGGUGUGUUGUUACUACUUUUUAAUAAGCGUGAGAUUCUUGUCUCCUUGGAAACUUGGUGGCGAGUAAGAUUUUAUUUUCCUGUUCAUUUGCAAGCAUUUUGUUUCAAAGCUUUUGUCGGUCACCUUUUGUUUCCUCUCUUUUUUUCACUUCUGUGGAUUUUGAACUAUGAACAAUCUUGUUACUUUUCUUUAGCUGCGUUAGAACUUUAAUCUAUUGCUUAUUUGUAUGUUCAAGGUCUGAUUUGAUGCAACCUAUGAUUGGGGGAGUGCAAUGGGAAUGUGUUUUAAUGUUGGUCCAUGGAAAAAUUUUGAAUAAUUGUAUCACUGGUUGCUGUAGAUGUUGGUUCUUUGGGCAUGUGCACUUCCAUUUGUACAGUUCUACACUUCAGUGUGCUUUUUGUAAAUAUUUGUUGUCAAUGAUGUAAUGUUAGAGACUUUAAAAGGCAGCCUCUUCUUUCUAUAUAUCUGGAACCUUCAAUUGCUGUACUAUACUUAAAAAGUUGACUGCAAACUUUUCAAAUUGUUCUUGGUUGUAGGCAGUCUCUGCCCUUCCAUUAUACUUAAAUCUCACCAUCACCUGCUGAAAAUAUAGUUAGAAUGUCUCUAUAAACCUGUGUAUUGGUAACAAUAUCUCAGAACACCUCAUUUGUAUUACCACUGUAUUUGUGUACUUUAAUAAUUGUGUAAAUAAAUUCAUAAGGACUUCUAAUUUU